This is a long non-coding RNA of Nicotiana attenuata, 297 nucleotides long. RefSeq lists it as uncharacterized. The transcript has 2 exons. Lineage: Eukaryota; Viridiplantae; Streptophyta; Magnoliopsida; Solanales; Solanaceae. The record is from RefSeq and is a predicted model, not a curated record.
CACAGAUCCGGAGAAAUAUGACAAAAGGUCAAAGAUCUAAAGUUUUGGGUCGAGAUUUUACUGGAUUUGACCAUGAAUAUAUUUUUACGCUUCGGCGAACCUCCAACGGCUUCUGACCCUGCAUUGCUGCCUCGUCCUUUAUUUACACUGCUCCGGCGAGACAUUGCUUAGCAGAUUCCGAUGCUCUAGGUUAAAGGCAGAAAAGUUUUUAUGAAUACUGCCAUAAAUCUCAAAUCCAUAGAUUUAGAUGGUUGAAAAAAACAUAUUUAAAAGUAAACUAGUAUGAGUUCUACACCA